RNAcentral lists this long non-coding RNA (381 nucleotides) under Felis catus (domestic cat). RNAcentral's name for it is "lncRNA (ENSFCAG00000048672.1)". Lineage: Eukaryota; Metazoa; Chordata; Mammalia; Carnivora; Felidae. The record is from RNAcentral.
CCCUGUUCUUCAGGUCACAGAGCCAUGGCAAUGUUCUCUGAACAAUAAAGAACAGAUUAUGCUACAAACUCUGAGAAUGCAAAAGUGGACCUUUUCCCAACUUGACCCAACAUUCAGGAACCCUCUGCCCAUUUGGGUAUAUUACCUCAAGAAGGAAUGGUGUUGUAAACAGGGCUCAGACAUGUAAGCCCUUCCAGGUCCACCUUUGCCCCCAAAGUCCUGAGUGAGUUGGAUUUUCUGGGGUACGUUCAGGAAACUUACUGUGCCAGAGCACAGGCAUGUAUCUGAGUGAACUGAUUGCAUUUCAGCAGCUUCCCUGGAGCCAAGUCUUCUCACAAUUUUUUCAAUAAAAUAUUCCGGCAAUAGUCUUAUUUCUCUCCU